GAUGAACGCUGGCGGCGUGCCUAAUACAUGCAAGUCGAGCGAAGCGGGGACGGGUGAGUAACACGUGGAUAACCUCAUAUAAGACUGGGAUAACGUCGGGAAACCGGAGAUAAACCGGCUACUUAUAGAUGGCUCCGCGCUGCAUUAGCUAUUUGGUAAGGUAACGGCUUACCAAGGCAAAGAUGCAUAGCCGACCUGAGAGGGUGAUCGGCAACACUGGAACUGAGACACGGUCCAGACUCCUACGGGAGGCAGCAGGAGGGAACUGUCCGCAAUGGGCGAAAGCCUGACGGAGCAACGCCGCGUGAGUGAUGAAGGUCGUAGGAUCGUAAAACUCUGUUAUUAGGGAAGCGGUACCUAAUCAGAAAGCCACGGCUAACUACGUGCCAGCAGCCGCGGUAAUUC
Molecule: ribosomal RNA, 405 nt
Filed under: uncultured bacterium
Lineage: Bacteria
Description: partial 16S ribosomal RNA
Rfam family: Bacterial small subunit ribosomal RNA
Source: RNAcentral